AAGCAAUGAUCAGAGAAAUACACCACGGGGUAUUACAGCUUGCUUAGUCGAAUUUCGAUUCACUUGGACUUUGUCAGCAUGUGGAUUUCUGCAGCAUUCCUUCUUUUUGCAUUGGCUGUAAAUGGAGACAAGUCUGAAGAUUCUUUCAGCAUUGGUCGAAAAUGCCCCAC
Long non-coding RNA from Sinocyclocheilus grahami, 170 nucleotides. RefSeq lists it as uncharacterized. The record is from RefSeq and is a predicted model, not a curated record. NCBI's taxonomy places the organism in Eukaryota, Metazoa, Chordata, Actinopteri, Cypriniformes, Cyprinidae. The transcript is spliced from 3 exons.